CCAUGCCGCGUGUGUGAAGAAGGUCUUCGGAUUGUAAAGCACUUUAUGUUGGGAGGAAGGGCAGUAAGUUAAUACCUUGCUGUUUUGACGUUACCAACAGAAUAAGCACCGGCUAACUUCGUGCCAGCAGCCGCGGUAAUACGAAGGGUGCAAGCGUUAAUCGGAAUAACUGGGAGUAAAGCGCUCGUAGGUGGUUCAGCAAGUUGGAGGUGAAAUCCCCGGGCUCAACCUGGGAACUGCAUCCAAAACUACUGGGCUAAAGUAUGGUAGAGGGUGGUGGUAUUUCGGCGACCACCUGGACUAUACUGACACUGAGGUGCGAAAGCGUGGGGAGCAAACCGGAUUAGAUACCCUGGUAGUCCACGCCGUAAACGAUGUCGACCAUCCGUUGGGAUCCUUGAGAUCUUAGUGGCGCAGCUAACGCGAUAAGUCGACCGCCUGGGGAGUACGGCCGCAAGGUUAAAACUCAAAUGAAUUGACGGGGGCCCGCACAAGCGGUGGAGCAUGUGGUUUAAUUCGAAGCAACGCGAAGAACCUUUCUU
RNAcentral lists this ribosomal RNA (542 nucleotides) under Pseudomonas aeruginosa. Its description in RNAcentral is "bacterial SSU rRNA". It matches the Rfam family "Bacterial small subunit ribosomal RNA", at positions 392 to 976 of the family's 1533-position model. Lineage: Bacteria; Pseudomonadati; Pseudomonadota; Gammaproteobacteria; Pseudomonadales; Pseudomonadaceae. The record is from RNAcentral.